Molecule: long non-coding RNA, 1351 nt
Organism: Phyllostomus discolor (pale spear-nosed bat)
Lineage: Eukaryota; Metazoa; Chordata; Mammalia; Chiroptera; Phyllostomidae
Exons: 4
Source: RefSeq, a predicted model, not a curated record
UGGAGUGGUGGAAGGUCAUCUUGAAGACCCGCUGCCCGCUGGACUGCAGGUAGACCUCAACACAGUCACAGGCCUGGCUGCCAGUCGAGCCGACCACUUCCAGCUGCUCCCGAGUAGCCAGUACGUAGAGCACAACAUAGCGGCAGGCACGCUUCCACUGGAUCUGGCCAAGGGUGGAGGAGACCAGGGCAUUUUUGAGGAAGAAGAGAGUCCCUGCAUAGUCAAGGAUGAAGACGUGGUCCUUGAGAAAGGGGCCCUGGAAGGUUGGCUGGGAAUGCUGAACUCAUCAGGCAACUUGAUGGAACAGGAGGGGUCCCAGAAUAAGGUAGGACAGAGGCAAAGAGAACUGGAGGUUUUGGGGAAGCUGUACAGUUAAGAAUGGCAGCUCUCUUCCAGGGCCGGACCCCAGAGCCCUGCUCUCGUAGGCGAGGACUGAGCCUGCGACAGAUGCGUCUCCACACGCCCUCAGCAUCGCACACUUCGUGGAAGUAGUGGCAGGCUCUGGGCCACAUGAAGGGCAGCUCCGCUUCACCUACCAGAGAAGAAAGGGGAGCAAGGGCUUCGAUGAGAAUCAUCUCUCGUUUUCUUCAUCCUCUCAGUCUGUCAUUAACUACUAUCUUGGAGGCUCAUAGCUCUAUCUCCCAGCUUAGAGCUGUCAAAUCCUCCCAUCUUUCUCUCUAGGUCCACAGUCACCCCUCCCUGUCUACCUUGUUGCUUGGUCCAACUUCUCCAAGUAAUCCUUCCCCAGAUAUCUUGCUAUCCUCUUGCCCUUCCCUUGCCUUGUCUCCACCCCUCACUCUGAGCCUCUCCUCCCAUCCGCACAGCCCUGCGAAUUUUUGCAGCUUCUGUCUCAGGCUUCUCCUCACCAUCCUGACUGACCCCUCCCUGCUCCUGUCCUCAUCUCUCCGAGCCCCUUGGCACCCAUCUUGGGCCCAGUCCCUGCUGCCUUUCCCACACCAUGUCCCCUGCCUGGGCUUGGGGACCUCUGGGCCCCUCUGCCUCCUAGGCCCUCCCCCAUGGAGUCUGAGGCAGACAAACCUCUGUGACCUCACUGCCUGGCCACUGUGACCUAUUUUCCCCAACCUUGCCAGAGAUUUUCUCUUAGACAGCUCCUCAGUUCUGGCUCAGCUCCAGCCCCUCGAUGGCUUGGCAUAUGCAUUUUCCAGGAGAAAUACAGUGUGAACUCCUGGUUGAUGGGGCCUUUACAUUCAGGGAGUAGUAGGAGGUUUUUCCACUUGAGGCCCUUUUGGCACUAACUCUGAGGAGAAACACUGGUAAAUUCUUCAUAUCUCAGCAGGCCAGAGCCUCCAGGGGGUUUGUAGCUCAAGAGUAUAAACUCAAAAAAAAAAAA